GUAGGUGGCAAGCGUUGUCCGGAAUUAUUGGGGCGUAAAGCGCGCGCAGGCGGUUCUUUAAGUCUGAUGUGAAAGCCCACGGGCUCAACCGUGGAGGGUCAUUGGAAACUGGAGAACUUGAGUACAGAAGAGGAAAGCGGAAUUCCACGUGUGGCGGUGAAAUGCGUAGAGAUGUGGAGGAACACCAGUGGCGAAGGCGGCUUUCUGGUCUGUAACUGACGCUGAGGCGCGAAAGCGUGGGGAGCAAACAGGAUUAGAUACCCUGGUAGUCCACGCCGUAAACGAUGAGUGCUAAGUGUUAGGGGGUUUCCGCCACUUAGUGCUGCAGCUAACGCAUUAAGCACUCCGCCUGGGGAGUACGGCCGCAAAGGCUG
RNAcentral lists this ribosomal RNA (374 nucleotides) under uncultured organism. RNAcentral's name for it is "partial 16S ribosomal RNA". It matches the Rfam family "Bacterial small subunit ribosomal RNA", at positions 527 to 896 of the family's 1533-position model. The record is from RNAcentral.